This 305-nucleotide ribosomal RNA is filed under the name uncultured bacterium. Its description in RNAcentral is "bacterial SSU rRNA". It matches the Rfam family "Bacterial small subunit ribosomal RNA", at positions 333 to 654 of the family's 1533-position model. The record is from RNAcentral.
UGUUUCCUACGGGGCGCAGCAGUCGGGAAUAUUGCGCAAUGGAGGAAGCUCUGACGCAGUGACGCCGCGUAUAGGAAGAAGGUUUUCGGAUUGUAAACUAUUGUCGUUAGGGAAGAGAAAGGACAGUACCUAAGGAGGAAGCUCCGGCUAACUACGUGCCAGCAGCCGCGGUAAUACGUAGGGAGCGAGCGUUAUCCGGAAUUAUUGGGUGUAAAGGGUGCGUAGGCGGGAAAACAAGUUAGUUGUGAAAUCCCUCGGCUUAACUGAGGAACUGCAACUAAAACUAUUUUUCUUGAGUGCAGGAG